Molecule: long non-coding RNA, 2606 nt
Filed under: Sus scrofa (pig)
Lineage: Eukaryota; Metazoa; Chordata; Mammalia; Artiodactyla; Suidae
Description: lncRNA (ENSSSCG00045031232.1)
Source: RNAcentral
AAGGGUUGGAUGCUCCUGGCAUUUGCACCAGGACUGAAGAAAGGGAAAGACUGGAAUGUGAUGCAAUGACAACCAGUGCUGCUGCCAAUCCCAUGUGGUGUGGGAGGCAUGGAAGUGGGGGCUUGAAAUUGCAAUGGACCUACAAAAUUUUUCUGAAUUUUGAUAAGGGGGCAGAGCCUUUAUAGCCUAGCUUUGGAGCAGUCAUUCGACAAAUGAUGUGUCUGGUAAAGGCUAUGAUCUUUUGUGAGGUGACUUUCCUUAUCCAAGAGCCAUCUCUUAAGGGACUGUCAGCUGUAAGCUAUGAGAGGGCAACACUUCCUUCACCUUGGGAGCAUUAGUAUUUCAAUCUUGGAUGGGGGUGGGAGCUGGUAGCUCUGUACAGCCCCCGUUACAGAUCUUUGCCUGUUAGAGUCGUGUGAGGACAGCCAGGGGUGUGCAUUUGCCUGUAACUAUGCAUCAGGUGAAAACUUAGCUCCAUGAGAUCAUUCAAGGACCCAGACUCCUUCCAUUCCGUGGCUCUGCUCUCUUCAAGAUCCUCAGAACUUUUUCUUUCCCAUCAGCGGAAGGGAGCAAGUGGUCUUAAGGGGCAGGCCUGGACAUGUCUCCAAUCUCUUAUGCUUAUUUCAGCCAUAAAUCAGUUUCCUUGGCUCACCUGAGCUACAUAAGAGCAUCUGGAAAAUGUCUUCUAGCUGUUUGCCCAGGAAUGAAAGGAGAACAUAAAUAUUUGUGCUCACUAGUAUUCUCUACCUGCCGUAGAAGGAUUUCAGGCAGACUUAGGUUCAAAUAACAGUUCCAAUAUAAUUAGCUGUGCAUCAUGAGGCCAACUUUUCUGAGCUAAAUUUAGCUCAUCUGUAAAACGAUGACUAGCCCACCCUACUCAAUGGCUUGUUGGAACACUGAAAGGAGGUGAAAAAAAUAUCACAGAAAGUGUUCUCCUUUCUCUUUUCUUCUUUAAGCUCUCCCUCUGUACAUGGUCUUGCUAGUUUUCAGAGCUGCCCACCCCGAUGUGACGUUUGGUGGCAUAACAGAAUGUUAGCUGCUGUGGAGAGGAUUCCUAUUGAAGUGUUGGAUGGGCCUCAUUGACCUGGAAAGUCCUUCAACCCUGUCGGAACCUCUGAAAUAUUCAUUAAACACACACCAGGUUGAGUCAGAGUCAGACUGGGCAUUUGUACUGGAACCAGACGCGGGUUUGUGCUCAGACACCAUAGCUUUCCUUUCCUUCUGGAACUAAGUCUUCUCAGCAGAAUAUCGACAUCCAUAAAGCUUUCUGACUUGACUUUUCAUUUCUCUUCUUUGCAGAACUAUGCUUGUCUUGGCCUUUCAUCUCGACAUUUAACUGAGAAGAAUUUCAAUUGUUUGCAGUCAAUUCCAUGGUGCUUUUCCAAUUUCCCUUUGUUUUCUUUGGGAUUUUCAGGAAGCCUCAUGUGCCCUAUGUAAUUCAGUUAUGGUCAGAGGAGCCUGGUACCUCAAAGUCACAGAUGAUUUUUUAAAAAACAUUUCAACACCUGCAUAUUAGAAGCAGCAUUGGCUUAGGAAUCAAGAGGCCAGAGCCACGCGGCUGGCCCUCCAUUAAUUAGCUGUGUGACCUUCAGCAGGUAAUUUGUGCCUCUCUCAACUGAAUAAAGAGGGCCAUCUGGAUCAGUGUUUUAAAAACAUGUUUCUGGAAUGGUAGGGUUUCUUGGAGAUAUUUCCAGGACUCUGGGGGUGACAAAGGGAAACCUUUGCCCUCAUUGAGUCUGCUUUUCACUCAUAUAUUUGGAGGUCUAGUAAAGUCUCAUUGACAAAAAUUUUUUCACUGUUUUUUUUUAAAACAUCACUAAAUUCAGAUUAUAACUAAGGGUUGGUUGUACUUCUACUCUCAUUUAACACUGAUUUGACCAAUGAAAUGUUUUUUUUUUAAUUUUUUUUGUAAUGGAUUUUAAAAUGAGAAACUGACCAAAUCUUUGGUAUUAGAGGCAUUUAAAUCAGUUGCAGCAUAAAAAGACACUGAAGCGGUUUGAAUAGAAGCUCUACCUUUAAUAGCCCUCUGGUAAAAUAUUUAAAUUCUCUAGCUGUAAGUCAGUCCUUGUAAAAUGGGGGGAAAAUGUGCUUCCCUUGCAGGUUAUAAGUAUUAAAAAUUAAGCUAAUGCUGUGUAGUGCCAAGCAUAGUGAUGGCAAUUUUGUGCACACGUGGAUGGUUCUUGCUUCAUGCUCACACACACACAUGCUUCCCCAUCCAUGCCCAGUCAGCUCUUUUGUGAGCCCAGGUAUGCCUCCAGGAUCCUAUUAAAUAAGGUCAUAAGAGUAGAUCUCCCAUCCAAUAGCAUCAGUGCCCAGUACACCAGAGCUCCUCCUGCCUCCUUCUCUGCCAUGGGAGGACACAGUGAGAAGAUGGCUAAAGGCAAAAACCAGGAAGAGGGCCUUCAUCAGAAGAAUAAGGAGUUCCUGUCAUGGCUCAGCAGAAACGAAUCUGACUAGUAUCCAUGAGGACACAGGUUCGAUCCCUGGCCUUGCUCAGUGGCUUAAGGAUCUGGUGUUGCUGUGAGCUGUAUUGUAGGUCACAGAUGCAGCUCGGAUCCCGCCAUGUGCCUCAGGUGUGGCCCACAAAGACCAAAAAAAAAAAAGAA